AGUAGCCAUGGUGAGGCAGCGUGU
RNAcentral lists this non-coding RNA (24 nucleotides) under Arabidopsis thaliana (thale cress). Lineage: Eukaryota; Viridiplantae; Streptophyta; Magnoliopsida; Brassicales; Brassicaceae. The record is from RNAcentral.